CCUACGGGAGGCAGCAUUAAGGAAUAUUGCGCAAUGGGCGAAAGCCUGACGCAGCGACGCCGCGUGGGGGAUGAAGGUCUUCGGAUUGUAAACCCCUUUCGGGAGGGAAGCGGUACCUCCAGAAGCAGCCACGGCUAACUUCGUGCCAGCAGCCGCGGUAAUACGAAGGUGGCAAGCGUUAUUCGGAUUUACUGGGCGUACAGGGAGCGUAGGCGGUUCGGUAAGCCCUUUGUGAAAUCUCCAGGCUUAACCUGGAAAGUCGGAGGGGACUGCCGGGCUAGAGGACGGGAGAGGAGCGCGGAAUUCCCGGUGUAGCGGUGAAAUGCGUAGAGAUCGGGAGGAAGGCCGGUGGCGAAGGCGGCGCUCUGGAAGUUCUGACGCUGAGGCUCGAAAGCGUGGGGAGCAAACAGGAUUAGAUACCCUUGUAGUC
This 430-nucleotide ribosomal RNA is filed under the name uncultured bacterium. RNAcentral's name for it is "partial 16S ribosomal RNA". It matches the Rfam family "Bacterial small subunit ribosomal RNA", at positions 338 to 795 of the family's 1533-position model. The record is from RNAcentral.